This 23-nucleotide non-coding RNA is filed under the name Arabidopsis thaliana (thale cress). The record is from RNAcentral. Lineage: Eukaryota; Viridiplantae; Streptophyta; Magnoliopsida; Brassicales; Brassicaceae.
ACAGAAAAGGAUUCAAGAGGCAA